RNAcentral lists this ribosomal RNA (505 nucleotides) under uncultured bacterium. RNAcentral's name for it is "bacterial SSU rRNA". It matches the Rfam family "Bacterial small subunit ribosomal RNA", at positions 501 to 1008 of the family's 1533-position model. The record is from RNAcentral.
CUACGUGCCAGCAGCCGCGGUAAUACGGAAGGUCCGGGCGUUAUCCGGAUUUAUUGGGUUUAAAGGGAGCGUAGGCUGGAGAUUAAGUGUGUUGUGAAAUGUAGACGCUCAACGUCUGACUUGCAGCGCAUACUGGUUUCCUUGAGUACGCACAACGUUGGCGGAAUUCGUCGUGUAGCGGUGAAAUGCUUAGAUAUGACGAAGAACUCCGAUUGCGAAGGCAGCUGACGGGAGCGCAACUGACGCUGAAGCUCGAAGGUGCGGGUAUCGAACAGGAUUAGAUACCCUGGUAGUCCGCACAGUAAACGAUGGAUGCCCGCUGUUGGUACUUGGUAUCAGCGGCUAAGCGAAAGCAUUAAGCAUCCCACCUGGGGAGUACGCCGGCAACGGUGAAACUCAAAGGAAUUGACGGGGGCCCGCACAAGCGGAGGAACAUGUGGUUUAAUUCGAUGAUACGCGAGGAACCUUACCCGGGCUUGAAUUGCAGAGGAAGUAUUUAGAGAUA